GGGAUGUGCUCAGAGCAGGGGGGCUGAAGAAUGGACCUUGUUCAUAACACACCCAAACAGGAAUCUGGGGUCACUGUGAUGGGGGGCACAAAACUGUGUCUGCCCUAUGAACAAGUUCCCUACCUGU
Nycticebus coucang (slow loris) is the source of this 127-nucleotide small nucleolar RNA. RefSeq annotates it as small nucleolar RNA SNORA11. The record is from RefSeq and is a predicted model, not a curated record. Lineage: Eukaryota; Metazoa; Chordata; Mammalia; Primates; Lorisidae. The transcript has a single exon.